RNAcentral lists this RNase P RNA (323 nucleotides) under Propionispora sp. 2/2-37. Its description in RNAcentral is "Bacterial RNase P class B". It matches the Rfam family "Bacterial RNase P class B". Rfam says of the family: Ribonuclease P (RNase P) is a ubiquitous endoribonuclease, found in archaea, bacteria and eukarya as well as chloroplasts and mitochondria. Its best characterised activity is the generation of mature 5'-ends of tRNAs by cleaving the 5'-leader elements of precursor-tRNAs. The record is from Rfam by way of RNAcentral. Lineage: Bacteria; Bacillati; Bacillota; Negativicutes; Selenomonadales; Sporomusaceae.
GUAUACGAGGGAACGCUGUACAUUGUGCAGAGGAAAGUCCGGACAGGCACGGGCUGCGAUGCCCGUAGUGAUUGCGCGUGACCUAAGAAGUCACGGAAGGAAGCUCAUUCCUUACGGCGGCAAAACCGACUCUGUCUGAGUUGGCGGUAGCCUGAAAGUGCCACAGAAACGAAACGUUCCGGCGACGGAACGAUGCAAGGGUAAACCCCGCAAGCCUGAAACUCAAAUUACGGUAGAGGAACCCUAGGAAGGGAAUAAAACCAGAUUAGGGCGCAUGAAACUGCGAGAUAAAUGUUUCCUAAAACAGAAUCCGGCUUACGGUA